Molecule: long non-coding RNA, 823 nt
Filed under: Neogale vison (American mink)
Lineage: Eukaryota; Metazoa; Chordata; Mammalia; Carnivora; Mustelidae
Description: Neovison vison (American mink) lncRNA (ENSNVIG00000008564.1)
Source: RNAcentral
GGCUGAGCACGGUGGAACCAGUCUUCUCAGCUGCCUCUCGGAGGCUAGCGGUUCCCCUUGGCCUCUGUGGAACCCCGCUUCCAUGUCCCCAGUGGACACAGCAUCCCGGAACCUCCAGGCCCAUGGCCACUAGCUUGAGGUCGCCCGCUUUCACCUCAUGUUCUUCCGCCUCGACAGACACACGAGGAGGGAGUGUGCGGCACUUGUGAAGAUGCUUCUCUGUGCAAGAGGAGCUGGCAUGUCACAGGAGGUGUGGAGGACACCCAGGACUGGGCCUUGCUCCUGGACAGCAGCCAGGGACAGCCAUGAGGAAGGACAGUCCUUGGAUUCAAAGGGGAUCCCACAGGGCCGACUGUGGCACAAGCUGCCCAAGGAUAUUUUGCUCAAGUCCAUGGCAUCUCUCAGCUGAUAAAAGCAUUUCUACAGAAGAAAGAAUGUUAUUGUCAAAUUCUAAAUCUUGGGACUCAAUGGAGACCACCUUCUGGAGAUUAAAGGCACAUUUUCUGGUCCUGCACCUUAGAGUUUCUGAUUUUGCCAUCAUAGUGUCCGAAGCUCAUGACCAAGAAAGAAUUUUUCAGCUGUCUCUGGUGCUGCAAAAAGGUGAUUUUAUUAAAAACCAGGGACAGGACCUAUAGGCAAAAAGAGCUGCCAUGGGGUCGUGAGGAGUGGCCUAUUCUAUACUUUCAAGUUUGAGGGGGUUGGAGAUAGUGUAAGUCUCCAAGGAAUUCUGGAAGGAAGGUUUCCAGGACCAUGAGAGGCUAGCUAUUGUUGGCAAAGGGUCAUUGAUUAUGGUCUAAUAAAGCCUUAGUCAUGAGACCCUUCA